UUUUGCAGCCAGAGGUUUAUCCUGGGAACUGUUGGCCAUUUAAAGGCUCCCAAGGCUUUGUUGUCAUCAAGCUUGCUGUCCGGAUCAGGCCAACAGCCUUUACCCUAGAGCACAUUCCAAGAUCCAUUUCUCCGCGUGGAUCAAUUAGAAGUGCCCCUCAAGACUUCUCUGUUUAUGGCUUGGAUGAUGAAAAUCAAGCCGAAGGGAUCCUAUUGGGACAGUACACGUUCAACGAGGAAGGGGAUUCAAUCCAGACGUUUGAGGUGCAGAAUAAAGAUGCUGCAGCAUUCAAACUAAU
Amblyraja radiata (thorny skate) is the source of this 298-nucleotide long non-coding RNA. RefSeq lists it as uncharacterized. NCBI's taxonomy places the organism in Eukaryota, Metazoa, Chordata, Chondrichthyes, Rajiformes, Rajidae. The transcript is spliced from 3 exons. The record is from RefSeq and is a predicted model, not a curated record.